ACGGAAGGCAGCAGUGGGGAAUAUUGCACAAUGGGGAAACCCUGAUGCAGCGACGCCGCGUGGGUGAAGAAGUUUUUCGGAAUGUAAAGCCCUAUCAGCAGGGAAGAUAAUGACGGUACCUGACUAAGAAGCCCCGGCUAACUACGUGCCAGCAGCCGCGGUAAUACGUAGGGGGCAAGCGUUAUCCGGAUUUACUGGGUGUAAAGGGAGCGUAGACGGAAUAGCAAGUCUGAAGUGAAAUGUAGGGGCUCAACCCCUGAACUGCUUUGGAAACUGUUGAUCUUGAGUACCGGAGGGGCAGGCGGAAUUCCUGGUGUAGCGGUGAAAUGCGUAGAUAUCAGGAAGAACACCGGUGGCGAAGGCGGCCUGCUGGACGGUAACUGACGUUGAGGCUCGAAAGCGUGGGGAGCAAACAGGAUUAGAUACCCUGGUA
RNAcentral lists this ribosomal RNA (433 nucleotides) under uncultured Lachnospiraceae bacterium. RNAcentral describes it as "partial 16S ribosomal RNA". It matches the Rfam family "Bacterial small subunit ribosomal RNA", at positions 341 to 792 of the family's 1533-position model. The record is from RNAcentral. Lineage: Bacteria; Bacillati; Bacillota; Clostridia; Lachnospirales; Lachnospiraceae.